UACGGAUAACAUGAUGCAAACAUAUCAUCUAACUGACCUAAAGCUAAGGCCUUGGGUCCAAUCUCUUAGGUUGGUAGGUAGAUUCUUUAAAUGGGUUCAUCUCUAAGCCUCAUGCAGUUACUUUGGGUCCAGUUUCUUAUGCAAAAAUCAAGACACAAACUCAAUCAUUAAUUGAAUCAUUGAAACAACACAACACAAAACUAUUUAAUUUGAAUUUUGAAUUGAUG
RNAcentral lists this long non-coding RNA (227 nucleotides) under Glycine max (soybean). RNAcentral's name for it is "long non-coding RNA (GMAX_LNC000385)". Lineage: Eukaryota; Viridiplantae; Streptophyta; Magnoliopsida; Fabales; Fabaceae. The record is from RNAcentral.